RNAcentral lists this ribosomal RNA (463 nucleotides) under uncultured bacterium. Its description in RNAcentral is "partial 16S ribosomal RNA". It matches the Rfam family "Bacterial small subunit ribosomal RNA", at positions 27 to 507 of the family's 1533-position model. The record is from RNAcentral.
GGACGAACGCUGGCGGCGUGCUUAACACAUGCAAGUCGAACGGUAAGGCCUUUCGGGGUACACGAGUGGCGAACGGGUGAGUAACACGUGGGUGAUCUGCCCUGCACUUCGGGAUAAGCCCGGGAAACUGGGUCUAAUACCGGAUAGGACUGCGCGGUGCAUGCCGUGUGGUGGAAAGAUUUAUCGGUGCAGGAUGGGCCCGCGGCCUAUCAGCUUGUUGGUGGGGUAAUGGCCUACCAAGGCGACGACGGGUAGCCGGCCUGAGAGGGCGACCGGCCACACUGGGACUGAGACACGGCCCAGACUCCUACGGGAGGCAGCAGUGGGGAAUAUUGCACAAUGGGCGCAAGCCUGAUGCAGCGACGCCGCGUGAGGGAUGACGGCCUUCGGGUUGUAAACCUCUUUCAGCAGGGACGAAGCGUGAGUGACGGUACCUGCAGAAGAAGCACCGGCCAACUACGUG